RNAcentral lists this ribosomal RNA (921 nucleotides) under Arthrobacter sp. Its description in RNAcentral is "bacterial SSU rRNA". It matches the Rfam family "Bacterial small subunit ribosomal RNA", at positions 551 to 1469 of the family's 1533-position model. The record is from RNAcentral. Lineage: Bacteria; Bacillati; Actinomycetota; Actinomycetes; Micrococcales; Micrococcaceae.
UUAUUGGGCGUAAGAGCUCGUAGGCGGUUUGUCGCGUCUGCCGUGAAAGUCCGGGGCUCAACUCCGGAUCUGCGGUGGGUACGGGCAGACUAGAGUGAUGUAGGGGAGACUGGAAUUCCUGGUGUAGCGGUGAAAUGCGCAGAUAUCAGGAGGAACACCGAUGGCGAAGGCAGGUCUCUGGGCAUUAACUGACGCUGAGGAGCGAAAGCAUGGGGAGCGAACAGGAUUAGAUACCCUGGUAGUCCAUGCCGUAAACGUUGGGCACUAGGUGUGGGGGACAUUCCACGUUUUCCGCGCCGUAGCUAACGCAUUAAGUGCCCCGCCUGGGGAGUACGGCCGCAAGGCUAAAACUCAAAGGAAUUGACGGGGGCCCGCACAAGCGGCGGAGCAUGCGGAUUAAUUCGAUGCAACGCGAAGAACCUUACCAAGGCUUGACAUGAACCGGUAAUACCUGGAGACAGGUGCCCCGCUUGCGGUCGGUUUACAGGUGGUGCAUGGUUGUCGUCAGCUCGUGUCGUGAGAUGUUGGGUUAAGUCCCGCAACGAGCGCAACCCUCGUUCUAUGUUGCCAGCACGUGAUGGUGGGGACUCAUAGGAGACUGCCGGGGUCAACUCGGAGGAAGGUGGGGACGACGUCAAAUCAUCAUGCCCCUUAUGUCUUGGGCUUCACGCAUGCUACAAUGGCCGGUACAAAGGGUUGCGAUACUGUGAGGUGGAGCUAAUCCCAAAAAGCCGGUCUCAGUUCGGAUUGGGGUCUGCAACUCGACCCCAUGAAGUCGGAGUCGCUAGUAAUCGCAGAUCAGCAACGCUGCGGUGAAUACGUUCCCGGGCCUUGUACACACCGCCCGUCAAGUCACGAAAGUUGGUAACACCCGAAGCCGGUGGCUAACCCCUUGUGGGAGGGAGCUGUCGAAGUGGGACU